Rhamnusium bicolor is the source of this 78-nucleotide non-coding RNA. Lineage: Eukaryota; Metazoa; Arthropoda; Insecta; Coleoptera; Cerambycidae. The record is from the annotation of a GenBank genome assembly.
GCGUCGUGGUCGAGUGGUAAGGUAAGGACACGUGCCUCUCACCCUGGAAUCCCGGGUUCGAUCCCCGGUCGAGGAGCU